This 394-nucleotide ribosomal RNA is filed under the name uncultured bacterium. RNAcentral's name for it is "bacterial SSU rRNA". It matches the Rfam family "Bacterial small subunit ribosomal RNA", at positions 136 to 518 of the family's 1533-position model. The record is from RNAcentral.
GGCCGGGAUAGCCCAGGGAAACCUGGAUUAAUACCGGAUGAGACGGGACCCGCGAUGGCGGGACCCGGGAAAGGCGCUGCGGCGCCGCCGGGGGAUGAGUCUGCGUCCAUUAGCUAGACGGCGGGGUAACGGCCCACCGUGGCGACGAUGGGUAGCCGGCCUGAGAGGGUGGACGGCCACAUUGGAACUGAGACACGGUCCAGACUCCUACGGGAGGCAGCAGCUAAGAUCUUCCGCAAUGGGCGAAAGCCUGACGGAGCGACGCCCGCGUGAACGAAGAAGGCCGUGAGGUUGUAAAGUUCUUUUCGGGAGGGGGAACAACCGUGGCAGGGAAUGGCCGCGGGAUGACGUGAAUCCCGGAAUAAGCCCCGGCUAACUACGUGCCAGCAGCCGC